ACACCUACGGGCCGAGAGCUUACCGAUUGGAGACUCUAAAAGGGAAUGCCAUUCUCCAGACCUGGAAUGCUGACAAUCUAAAGUUGUACUACCAGUGAACUCUGUAUCCCCAUGUUCGGAAUACAAGUUUAGUUCCAAAAUUUCGGAGUCUGAAAUCUUGACUCUUCGACUGUAGGUUGGCGCUCGCCAGAAGUACAAGCCCCAACGCCCCGACUUGAGUCCAACGUUCCAUCGGGGACCAACGGCCCGAUCGUCGACGACACAUCGGACGCUUGAGAGGAUCGAUACAUCCACAACGACGAGAUUUAUACUCCUUCUACAGUCAAACUCUCGGGCAAAACGAUCGGCUGACACGCCGAAUCGGCCCCGGCCA
This 373-nucleotide long non-coding RNA is filed under the name Elaeis guineensis (African oil palm). RNAcentral's name for it is "long non-coding RNA (EGUI_LNC073360)". Lineage: Eukaryota; Viridiplantae; Streptophyta; Magnoliopsida; Arecales; Arecaceae. The record is from RNAcentral.